GUCGUAAUCAGUUGCAAAUACUACGUGGGAUGCACUUCCAGCAACACCUGUAAUUAAAAUAAUGCUGUUAAUUAAUCAUGAUUAAUUAAAUGAUUAAAAAUAAAAGAUGAAGUUAGAUGGUUUUUAUGAUAUUUAAAAAGUUGCAGGUGGAGUUUGAAAUGUAUUUUUUUUUUUUAAAUACUUACUCAAAGGAAAACGAACUUGCAUACGACCUGGUACACUUGGUUCUGGUACAGACAAUUCACCAGUGUAAUGAUACUCGUGUUUCAGGGGCGUGAGACCUACAACAAUACAAUAAAUUUAUAUAUGUUACAUAUCGCUCCUAAAUAGUAGAUCGUUAUAGUACAAUAGAUCCCACUUUAUCGGCAUUUAUCUCAUUGACGUCUUUUUGCUCAUAUCGACCUCUUCAUGAAGCUUGACGAGAGCUAAUCGAGCUAUGCAUGACGCAUGCUCAUUAAAUUUUUAUGGAGGACAAUUUAAAUCAUAUUCGAUAACUUUUCUUAGUAUUUUCACAUUAAAUUUAUGUCACUUCAUUUGUGAAAUUAUGUGAAUAUAUUCUAGUAUAUAUCAUUAAGAUGAUAAAGUUAUUAAUUACUUCAAUCUUGGUAUUAUGAGUCAGAACUUGGACUCUAAAUUAUAAUCAAACUUUAAAUGAGAUAGAUAAAUAUAGAUAAAUAUUUAUGAGAAAGAUAACAAAUGUUACCUAAAACAGGAUGGUUGGAUUGUUGAGUAAUUCUAUAUUCGCCAGGCUCCUCACCACGAGUGUAAUUGUAUCCAACACAUUUACUUCCGGUUGAUGUUUUUUGGAUGACAUACCAGUAGCCCAAGAACUAUAAAAAAUAUUUUUACCAUUAAUUCAAACGAAACAUGAGAUAGAAUUUUUAAAAAUAAUAAUUGUUGUAUUAAAACAAUUGUAGAUAAUUUUUUUUUAGAUUUUACCUUGCUCAUUUGAAAUCCUACCAUAGGUUCCACAAUUGGGCAUACUCCCAAGUGAUAAGUAUGAGCAUUUGCAAUCACCAAAAUGCUGGCCAAAAAGGCAAUAGCAGUUAUUGUCUUCAUCUAAUAAAAAAUGAAAAAAUUUUCUUAUUAUUAACAAUGAAAAA
Molecule: long non-coding RNA, 1103 nt
Organism: Chelonus insularis
Lineage: Eukaryota; Metazoa; Arthropoda; Insecta; Hymenoptera; Braconidae
Exons: 2
Source: RefSeq, a predicted model, not a curated record